This is a long non-coding RNA of Eubalaena glacialis (North Atlantic right whale), 252 nucleotides long. RefSeq lists it as uncharacterized. Lineage: Eukaryota; Metazoa; Chordata; Mammalia; Artiodactyla; Balaenidae. The transcript has 3 exons. The record is from RefSeq and is a predicted model, not a curated record.
UUUGCUCUCUUUCCCAUCGACCUGUUCACAUGUGUGUCGUCUCCCGGUCCUGCAGAGAGACUGAGAGUCUAGUGACAAGGGCCUGCCAGCCACUUAACAAGGGGAAGGAGCUGUUAACAUCAGUGAAUGCAACAUUAAAACCUAGACAAAAUGCAUGGAAGACUUUCAAGAGUAAAUAGUAGCAGGUGAAUUGGGGAAGAAAAGCAGAAUUUGGAGUACCACUGAACUAGGGCCCUGGAUGCAGGAAGUACA